AUGUGUGUGUAUGUGUGUGUGUCUCUGUAUGUAUGUGUCUGUAUGAUACACAUACAUACAGAGACACACACAUACUG
Molecule: non-coding RNA, 77 nt
Organism: Pelobates cultripes (western spadefoot toad)
Lineage: Eukaryota; Metazoa; Chordata; Amphibia; Anura; Pelobatidae
Source: the annotation of a GenBank genome assembly